Molecule: ribosomal RNA, 737 nt
Filed under: uncultured Pseudomonadota bacterium
Lineage: Bacteria; Pseudomonadati; Pseudomonadota
Description: bacterial SSU rRNA
Rfam family: Bacterial small subunit ribosomal RNA
Source: RNAcentral
GCCUAACACAUGCAAGUCGAACGGUAACAGGAAGCAGCUUGCUGCUUCGCUGACGAGUGGCGGACGGGUGAGUAAUGUCUGGGAAACUGCCUGAUGGAGGGGGAUAACUACUGGAAACGGUAGCUAAUACCGCAUAAUGUCGCAAGACCAAAGAGGGGGACCUUCGGGCCUCUUGCCAUCGGAUGUGCCCAGAUGGGAUUAGCUAGUAGGUGGGGUAACGGCUCACCUAGGCGACGAUCCCUAGCUGGUCUGAGAGGAUGACCAGCCACACUGGAACUGAGACACGGUCCAGACUCCUACGGGAGGCAGCAGUGGGGAAUAUUGCACAAUGGGCGCAAGCCUGAUGCAGCCAUGCCGCGUGUAUGAAGAAGGCCUUCGGGUUGUAAAGUACUUUCAGCGGGGAGGAAGGGAGUAAAGUUAAUACCUUUGCUCAUUGACGUUACCCGCAGAAGAAGCACCGGCUAACUCCGUGCCAGCAGCCGCGGUAAUACGGAGGGUGCAAGCGUUAAUCGGAAUUACUGGGCGUAAAGCGCACGCAGGCGGUUUGUUAAGUCAGAUGUGAAAUCCCCGGGCUCAACCUGGGAACUGCAUCUGAUACUGGCAAGCUUGAGUCUCGUAGAGGGGGGUAGAAUUCCAGGUGUAGCGGUGAAAUGCGUAGAGAUCUGGAGGAAUACCGGUGGCGAAGGCGGCCCCCUGGACGAAGACUGACGCUCAGGUGCGAGAGCGUGGGGAGCAAA